Molecule: ribosomal RNA, 506 nt
Filed under: uncultured bacterium
Lineage: Bacteria
Description: partial 16S ribosomal RNA
Rfam family: Bacterial small subunit ribosomal RNA
Source: RNAcentral
AGUGAACGCUGGCGGUAGGCCUAACACAUGCAAGUCGAACGGCAGCACAGGAGAGCUUGCUCUCUGGGUGGCGAGUGGCGGACGUGGGAGGAAUACAUCGGAAUCUACUUUUUCGUGGGGGAUAACGUAGGGAAACUUACGCUAAUACCGCAUACGAUCUACGGGUGAAAGCAGGGGAUCUUCGGACCUGUCGCGAUUGAAUGAGCCGAUGUCGGAUUAGCGAGUUGGCGGGGUAAAGGCCCACCAAGGCCACGAGCCGUAGCUGGUCUGAGAGGAUGAUCAGCAACACGGGAACUGAGACACGGUCCAGACUCCUACGGGAGGCAGCAGUGGGGAAUAUUGGACAAUGGGCGCAAGCCUGAUCCAGCCAUACCGCGUGGGUGAAGAAGGCCUUCGGGUUGUAAAGCCCUUUUGUUGGGAAAGAAAUCCAGCUGGUUAAUACCCGGUUGGGAUGACGGUACCCAAAGAAUAAGCACCGGCUAACUUCGUGCCAGCAGCCGCCGUAA